Molecule: small nuclear RNA, 110 nt
Organism: Bison bison bison
Lineage: Eukaryota; Metazoa; Chordata; Mammalia; Artiodactyla; Bovidae
Source: Ensembl
GUGCUUACUUUAGCAGCACAAAUAUUGCAAAUUGGAAUAACAAAGAGAAGAGUAGCAUGGCCUCUGUGCAAGGAUGACAUACAAAACUUUGUGAAGUGUCUGAUAUUGUU